UACGAAGGGGGCUAGCGUUGCUCGGAAUCACUGGGCGUAAAGCGCACGUAGGCGGCUUUUUAAGUCAGGGGUGAAAUCCUGGAGCUCAACUCCAGAACUGCCUUUGAUACUGGGAAGCUUGAGUCCGGAAGAGGUGAGUGGAACUCCGAGUGUAGAGGUGAAAUUCGUAGAUAUUCGCAAGAACACCAGUGGCGAAGGCGGCUCACUGGCCCGAUACUGACGCUGAGGCACGAAAGCGUGGGGAGCAAAGCAGG
This 254-nucleotide ribosomal RNA is filed under the name uncultured bacterium. RNAcentral describes it as "partial 16S ribosomal RNA". It matches the Rfam family "Bacterial small subunit ribosomal RNA", at positions 524 to 777 of the family's 1533-position model. The record is from RNAcentral.